This 316-nucleotide long non-coding RNA is filed under the name Vigna radiata. Its description in RNAcentral is "long non-coding RNA (VRAD_LNC002934)". Lineage: Eukaryota; Viridiplantae; Streptophyta; Magnoliopsida; Fabales; Fabaceae. The record is from RNAcentral.
UAUUAAAGGAAGGGGCAUAUCAGGAUGUCAGUUUGGUAAGUGAAUGUGAGAAAUAGAGAAGUAAGAGCACGAUGGAUGAGGAACAAAGAAGAAAGGCCUUAGAACAAAUGACAAAGGAUGGUUACAGUAUGAGUUGUUGGAGAUGGUAUCGGGGAAUGAUCAGAUAAUCCGGGUUGAUUGAGACUAUCAGAGUUUCAAAGUGGCAUGUUGUGUUUUAAUCGGUUUUUCUUCGAGUGUGAUUUUAUGGUGAUGCUCAGGGAUCUGUUGAGUUUGAUCAAGAGAGAAGUGGAUAUUGGAAGUUGAGUUACAGAAGGCA